UUAACGAGGAUCAAUUGGAGGGCAAGUCUGGUGCCAGCAGCCGCGGUAACUCCAGCUCCAAUAGCGUAUAUUAAAGUUGUUGCGGUUAAAAAGCUCGUAGUUGAAUCUGUGUCCCACACUGUCGGUUCACCGCUCGCGGUGUUCAACUGGCAUGUCUGUGGGACGUCCUACCGGUGGGCGCAGCCCGUCAAACGGCGGCCCAACUCAAAAUCCUACCACGGUGCUCUUCACCGAGUGCCGAGGUGGGCCGGUACGUUUACUUUGAACAAAUUAGAGUGCUUAAAGCAGGCUCAUUCGCCUGAAUAUUCUGUGCAUGGAAUAAUGGAAUAGGACCUCGGUUCUAUUUUGUUGGUUUUCGGAACUCCGAGGUAAUGAUUAAUAGGGACAACUGGGGGCAUUCGUAUUGCGACGUUAGAGGUGAAAUUCUUGGAUCGUCGCAAGACGGACAGAAGCGAAAGAAAUGUGUUUUCAUCAAUCAAGAACGAAAGUUAGAGGUUCGAAGGCGAUCAGAUACCGCCCUAGUUCUAACCAUAAACGAUGCCAGCUAGCGAUCCGCCGAAGUUCCUCCGAUGACUCGGCGGGCAGCUUCCGGGAAACCAAAGCUUUUGGGUUCCGGGGGAAGUAUGGUUGCAAAGCUGAAACUUAAAGGAAUUGACGGAAGGGCACCACCAGGAGUGGAGCCUGCGGCUUAAUUUGACUCAACACGGGAAAC
RNAcentral lists this ribosomal RNA (712 nucleotides) under Hectopsylla pulex. RNAcentral describes it as "SSU rRNA". It matches the Rfam family "Eukaryotic small subunit ribosomal RNA", at positions 534 to 1213 of the family's 1831-position model. Lineage: Eukaryota; Metazoa; Arthropoda; Insecta; Siphonaptera; Hectopsyllidae. The record is from RNAcentral.